AAUAAUGAUCGUGGUUGAGUUAUGAGAACUCAGAUGCAUGUUGCCAUACAUUUGCGAGAUAGUUUCCUCAUCGCUCAAGUCUUCGUUCCCUUGUUGACUUGAGUUAGAUAUGAGUUGAAUAUUGAUUAGAAACCCUGUAGAGCCGAGUGGACCCAUAGGAUAGGAGAACUCACUGAGAUUAUUAUCUUAUCCCAUUAUUGUUG
RNAcentral lists this long non-coding RNA (203 nucleotides) under Lathyrus oleraceus (garden pea). RNAcentral's name for it is "Pisum sativum (pea) long non-coding RNA (PSAT_LNC013267)". The record is from RNAcentral. Lineage: Eukaryota; Viridiplantae; Streptophyta; Magnoliopsida; Fabales; Fabaceae.